GUUUGACUGGGGCGGUCGCCUCCUAAAAUGUAACGGAGGCGCCCAAAGGUUCCCUCAGAAUGGUUGGAAAUCAUUCGCAGAGUGUAAAGGCACAAGGGAGCUUGACUGCGAGACCUACAAGUCGAGCAGGGACGAAAGUCGGGCUUAGUGAUCCGGUGGUUCCGCAUGGAAGGGCCAUCGCUCAACGGAUAAAAGCUACCCCGGGGAUAACAGGCUUAUCUCCCCCAAGAGUCCACAUCGACGGGGAGGUUUGGCACCUCGAUGUCGGCUCAUCGCAUCCUGGGGCUGUAGUCGGUCCCAAGGGUUGGGCUGUUCGCCCAUUAAAGCGGUACGCGAGCUGGGUUCAGAACGUCGUGAGACAGUUCGGUCCCUAUCCGUCGCGGGCGCAGGAAAUUUGAGAGGAGCUGUCCUUAGUACGAGAGGACCGGGAUGGACGCACCGCUGGUGUACCAGUUGUUCUGCCAAGGGCAUCGCUGGGUAGCUAUGUGCGGACGGGAUAAGUGCUGAAAGCAUCUAAGCAUGAAGCCCCCCUCAAGAUGAGAUUUCCCAUUCCGCAAGGAAGUAAGAUCCCUGAAAGAUGAUCAGGUUGAUAGGUCUGAGGUGGAAGCGUGGUGACACGUGGAGCUGACAGAUACUAAUAGAUCGAGGACUUAACCUAU
This 659-nucleotide ribosomal RNA is filed under the name Bacillus pumilus. RNAcentral's name for it is "partial 23S ribosomal RNA". It matches the Rfam family "Bacterial large subunit ribosomal RNA", at positions 2268 to 2925 of the family's 2925-position model. Lineage: Bacteria; Bacillati; Bacillota; Bacilli; Caryophanales; Bacillaceae. The record is from RNAcentral.